UUUAUCAAAAUCAAAUAAUAUAAGCAUUUUCAUUUCAAAGACUAUGUCUUAAUCUUAUCCAAAAUCUGUCAUAUGCUCCAUUUAGUAUCUUGGCUCCAUUUCAAACUUCAUUACUUUGGUAUUGAAACCAAGGCUAUUGAGGCAGAUUAUUUCGUCCAAAAUUCUUUCCAAUUCAAGUGAAAAUUUCAAAUUUUAAAUAGAUUAAAUCCAUUUCUAUCCUUGUUCAAAAACGCUAGAGCAGAAUCUGCCUUUAGCUAUUUUUGGCUUCAUUUUCAUUAUUUUGGCAUUGUAACCAAGAGAAUUGAAUCAGAUCAAUUCGUCCAACGUCUUAGCCACAAAUCUGUUCUUGGUUUUGAAACCGAGAACGUUGAACAGGUAUGUUAAGGCUCUCCCUUCUUACUUUUGGCAUGGUCCAAAUUAUACUAAAGAAACGAGCAAAUACACAGUUUCUAUAAAUUACUCUAUUCAUAAAAAUAGUAGGGGUGUCUAUAUUCUUGAAUCCCCAUGAGAAUUAUUAUUAUCUUAUAUUCAUGGGUCUCAAAAUAAUACGCAGUUGGAAAAGUUUAUCCGGAAGAAAUAUCGAGAUUAUUAUGUAUUUUUCAUGCAUUUCACUCAUUUAUACAUGUGCAUUGACCCAUGACCAGAAGGCGUUAUAUAUGUGUAUAUAUGUAUAUGGGAUAUAGGAAAAGGUUACGGUGUUAUAUACGCACCACCACCUUAUCAGCUGGUAUAUGAUGAUGAUGUUGCCCAUUGUGGCUGAAAUAUGAUUCAAACGGCCCUAUAUACACGUAUAUAUGUAAAUAUGAUUCAAACAGCUUUAUAUAUGUGUAUAUAUGUAAAUAUGAUUCAAAUGGAAUUAUAUACGCGUAUAUAUGUAAAUAUAUGUAUAUGGGAUAUGGAAAAAGGUUAUGGCGUUAUAUACGCACCACCACCUGAUCAGCUGGCAUACAAUGAUGAUUUUGCCCACAGUGGCUGAUAUGAUAUAAUGGGAUGCCCUCAGAGGCUGUUGAUGUUAUGAAACAUGUACUUAUGCAUGACAUGACAUUCAUACGCAUAUGCAUGACGUUAAAAGUAAUUUAUAAUUUACAAAGUUAUUCAGACUUACAGGUUGAGUCGUGUAAUCAUAUGUCUUCCAUGUCUCUUAUGUAUUUAUUUAUGUGCCUUACAUACUCGGUACAUUAUUCGUACUGACGUAUCUUUUUCCUGGGGAUUCUGCGUUUCAUGCCCGCAGGUCCCGAUAGACAGGUCGAGAGCCCUCCAAGUAGGCUAUCUGCUCAGGGGAAGAUGUUGGUGCGCUCAUUUGCUUCGAAGUUGCUCGUUUGGUUUGUAUGAUUUAGACGUGUAUUAUUUGGUAUGGCGAGACUCUGUCCCGACCUUUAUGGCACUUAUGUAUUCUUAGAGGCUUGUAGACAUAUGUCGUGUACGUAAAAUAUUGUACAGCCUUGUCGGCAUAUGUUUUGACUUUAUGGAUUAUGUUGGCCUAUUAGGCCCGUAUGUCACGUGUAUAUGAUGAUGUAAUAAGAAAGAUACGUUACGUUGGUACUCGAUCGAGUAAGGUACCGGGUGCCCGUCGCGGCCCAUCGUCUUGGGUCGUGACCAAAAAAAUUGAGCAAACAUCUUAUGUAAUUUAUUAACCACAAAUGCAGGAGG
This 1650-nucleotide long non-coding RNA is filed under the name Nicotiana tabacum (common tobacco). RNAcentral describes it as "long non-coding RNA (NTAB_LNC015566)". The record is from RNAcentral. Lineage: Eukaryota; Viridiplantae; Streptophyta; Magnoliopsida; Solanales; Solanaceae.